Rhincodon typus (whale shark) is the source of this 1067-nucleotide long non-coding RNA. RefSeq lists it as uncharacterized. The transcript has 5 exons. The record is from RefSeq and is a predicted model, not a curated record. Lineage: Eukaryota; Metazoa; Chordata; Chondrichthyes; Orectolobiformes; Rhincodontidae.
GCUGAACAGUGAAAUGCCCAGUAACUGCACGGUGAUUGUCUGAAAGACCAUUCUCAUAGCUACUGUGAAACAUUUAUUAAGGAGUAGUUCAGUGUGAGUUUUUAUCUCAUCGUAGCAAUACCUCCAAGAGCCAGCUCAGGUUCACAUUCGGCAGUGCGAUUGGAAAUUUAUCCAUGAGGUCUGAUUGCCAAGUCAAACUGAACGUGUUCCUGAAAUCUUUGUCUCAUGAAUUCUCACCUCUGACAAUCUACACUCCCUCCCGUGGCAGCUAAACCAUCCAAAUUCAAGGCAAACUUCUACCUAAGAAUAGGAAACAGUUCAACAAACUAUUCAAACAGUGGAAAUAUCACUGUCAGAGCAAGCCCAAAUGCAGCUCCUCUUCAGGCAAGCCCAGUCAAACAAACUGUUGACAAGACUGUAUCAUUAUUGACAUAAAUGUAGGCAAAGAAAAUCUAGCUUACUGACCCAGGUAAAUUAAUAUGAAUGCUGGAGAAUGUUGAAAAAGACAAGGAAUAUUUCCUUCAUGGAAGGACCAGAGAAGGUUGUGCAGGGACUUUCAGUUACCAGUGGGGUGACAAGCAACUGCUGGUACUCUUCUACAAAACCAUCCACCUACUGUGAUUCAGACCCUCCAGUGCGUGUUUUGGGUAUUCAGGAUAACAAAAUAACACUGGAUGAGAGCCUGUAUAAAACAAAACCCCAGGGGAUGGCAUGCUCACGCAUUACGUGCAAGAAAACAAUCACAGAAAUAGAGCAUCUGCAGAUCCUGAAGGGUAACAAUCACCAAGUCACUGCUAUGUUAGAGCAUACUACUUCAUCAAAAAUUAGAAGAGAAGCCACAAAUAAGCACUAUUGUUAUUUUUGUGUAGAGUCAUUUAAAACAUUCUAACAGUCAGUGCACUGUCUCAUUAAUUCAGACUCUCAAUAAACGGCAGCAUGGUGGCUCAGUGGUUAGCACUGCUGGCUCACAGUGCAAGGGGCCGGUCAAUUCCAGCCUUGGGUGACUGUCUGUGUGGAGUUUGCACAUUCUCCCCGUGUCUGCGUGGGUUUCCUCCGGGUGCUCUGGU